This 254-nucleotide ribosomal RNA is filed under the name uncultured bacterium. RNAcentral describes it as "partial 16S ribosomal RNA". It matches the Rfam family "Bacterial small subunit ribosomal RNA", at positions 524 to 776 of the family's 1533-position model. The record is from RNAcentral.
CACGUAGGGUGCAAGCGUUGUCCGGAAUCAUUGGGCGUAAAGAGCUCGUAGGCGGCUUAGUAAGUCGGGUGUGAAAACUCUAGGCUCAACCUAGAGACGCCACCCGAUACUGCUAUAGCUAGAAUCCAGUAGGGGAGUGUGGAAUUCCCAGUGUAGCGGUGAAAUGCGCAGAUAUCAGGAAGAACACCUAUGGCGAAGGCAGCUCUCUGGGACGGUACUGACGCUGAGACGCGAAAGCGUGGGGAGCGAACAGG